CUUGAGAAGAUCGAUGAGAAUCUGGGGAAGUCAGUUGUAAGCUCCUGUUUAGAGGAGCUAAAUCCAUUUUAUACAAGAUUUGAAAAAGAGUUUUCACAGCACACUGUCUCUCUGUUGACCUCUGACCUGUUGGACUGCUGUCUUUGGGUAGAAUAUCACAUCUCCUACAUCAACAGUUUCAGUUCACUCAAAGAGAAUUUGCAGUGCUAUAAAGAGAGCUGUUCAGCUCAGGUGGAGAAGUUGGAAAAAGAAGUGGAUGGACUGACUCAGAGACUCAGACAGACCCUGAUGGAUCAUUUCAAAUCUGAGGUCAAGCCUUACAUGGAUGGCAUGAUGACAAAAAAAUGGCUGAAAACAGAUGAAGAUUUUAAAGAAGUGAUUUCUAGAUUAGAUAAUUAUUCUGGGCUCUGUAAAUCCAUGAGAGCUCCAUCAGUCCAAGUGAGUCUCCACUGAUCUGCUCAGAGAUGCUUUUUAAUAGCAGCUGCAGAGAGCCACUUUAAACACAGUGUCUAUGUUUACAGAUUUUUGUGAAUGAUAUGCACUAUUAUGUAGCCAAAGAAUAUGUCUCCCAGCUGAUGAAGAAAAAAUAUUCAUGCAAAAAACCCAAAAACGAAGAUGCUGCCAUAAAAUUGAAAGAACAGUGGAAUGAACUCAGGAAACUAUUUAUGCAAAUGGUAAGAUACAGUCCAGUAUCAAACAGUGUGAAAUAUACAACAGUUUUUUUUUCAAGGUAGAUGCACUGAAAACAUUAUUCUGUAUUUAGGGAUCAUCCUUAAAGUGGCUUUAUCCAUUGGGAAAUUACCUUAGUGACAUUAUUGGAAUGGAUAAUGAGAAAAAUAUAAAAGAUCUGUUACAUCCAUUGGUUAGUAAUUACCCAGACAUAAGGUAAGUGUUAUAAUAACUUU
RNAcentral lists this long non-coding RNA (905 nucleotides) under Sinocyclocheilus grahami. RNAcentral's name for it is "lncRNA (ENSSGRG00000040466.1)". The record is from RNAcentral. Lineage: Eukaryota; Metazoa; Chordata; Actinopteri; Cypriniformes; Cyprinidae.